Molecule: microRNA, 24 nt
Filed under: Ananas comosus (pineapple)
Lineage: Eukaryota; Viridiplantae; Streptophyta; Magnoliopsida; Poales; Bromeliaceae
Description: microRNA s1119_c003b
Source: RNAcentral
AGUUUCGUGGGUCGAGUCGGAGUC